This 1606-nucleotide unclassified non-coding RNA is filed under the name Homo sapiens (human). RNAcentral describes it as "ADAM metallopeptidase domain 9 (ENSG00000282230.1)". Lineage: Eukaryota; Metazoa; Chordata; Mammalia; Primates; Hominidae. The record is from RNAcentral.
CCUAUAUAUGCAAACAGAUUUGCAGUACCAACCUAUGCAGCCAAGCAACCUCAGCAGUUCCCAUCAAGGCCACCUCCACCACAACCGAAAGUAUCAUCUCAGGGAAACUUAAUUCCUGCCCGUCCUGCUCCUGCACCUCCUUUAUAUAGUUCCCUCACUUGAUUUUUUUAACCUUCUUUUUGCAAAUGUCUUCAGGGAACUGAGCUAAUACUUUUUUUUUUUCUUGAUGUUUUCUUGAAAAGCCUUUCUGUUGCAACUAUGAAUGAAAACAAAACACCACAAAACAGACUUCACUAACACAGAAAAACAGAAACUGAGUGUGAGAGUUGUGAAAUACAAGGAAAUGCAGUAAAGCCAGGGAAUUUACAAUAACAUUUCCGUUUCCAUCAUUGAAUAAGUCUUAUUCAGUCAUCGGUGAGGUUAAUGCACUAAUCAUGGAUUUUUUGAACAUGUUAUUGCAGUGAUUCUCAAAUUAACUGUAUUGGUGUAAGAGUUUUGUCAUUAAGUGUUUAAGUGUUAUUCUGAAUUUUCUACCUUAGUUAUCAUUAAUGUAGUUCCUCAUUGAACAUGUGAUAAUCUAAUACCUGUGAAAACUGACUAAUCAGCUGCCAAUAAUAUCUAAUAUUUUUCAUCAUGCACGAAUUAAUAAUCAUCAUACUCUAGAAUCUUGUCUGUCACUCACUACAUGAAUAAGCAAAUAUUGUCUUCAAAAGAAUGCACAAGAACCACAAUUAAGAUGUCAUAUUAUUUUGAAAGUACAAAAUAUACUAAAAGAGUGUGUGUGUAUUCACGCAGUUACUCGCUUCCAUUUUUAUGACCUUUCAACUAUAGGUAAUAACUCUUAGAGAAAUUAAUUUAAUAUUAGAAUUUCUAUUAUGAAUCAUGUGAAAGCAUGACAUUCGUUCACAAUAGCACUAUUUUAAAUAAAUUAUAAGCUUUAAGGUACGAAGUAUUUAAUAGAUCUAAUCAAAUAUGUUGAUUCAUGGCUAUAAUAAAGCAGGAGCAAUUAUAAAAUCUUCAAUCAAUUGAACUUUUACAAAACCACUUGAGAAUUUCAUGAGCACUUUAAAAUCUGAACUUUCAAAGCUUGCUAUUAAAUCAUUUAGAAUGUUUACAUUUACUAAGGUGUGCUGGGUCAUGUAAAAUAUUAGACACUAAUAUUUUCAUAGAAAUUAGGCUGGAGAAAGAAGGAAGAAAUGGUUUUCUUAAAUACCUACAAAAAAGUUACUGUGGUAUCUAUGAGUUAUCAUCUUAGCUGUGUUAAAAAUGAAUUUUUACUAUGGCAGAUAUGGUAUGGAUCGUAAAAUUUUAAGCACUAAAAAUUUUUUCAUAACCUUUCAUAAUAAAGUUUAAUAAUAGGUUUAUUAACUGAAUUUCAUUAGUUUUUUAAAAGUGUUUUUGGUUUGUGUAUAUAUACAUAUACAAAUACAACAUUUACAAUAAAUAAAAUACUUGAAAUUCUCUUUUGUGUCUCCUAGUAGCUUCCUACUCAACUAUUUAUAAUCUCAUUAAUUAAAAAGUUAUAAUUUUAGAUAAAAAUUCUAGUCAAAUUUUUACAGAUAUUAUCUCACUAAUUUUCAGACUUUUGCCAAAGUGUGCACAAUGG